Molecule: transfer RNA, 73 nt
Filed under: Aporhodopirellula sallentina SM41
Lineage: Bacteria; Pseudomonadati; Planctomycetota; Planctomycetia; Pirellulales; Pirellulaceae
Also listed under: 3 other names
Description: Rhodopirellula sallentina SM41 tRNA
Rfam family: tRNA
About the family: Transfer RNA (tRNA) molecules are approximately 80 nucleotides in length.
Source: Rfam by way of RNAcentral
GGUCCCUUCGUCUAGUGGUCUAGGACACUGCCCUUUCACGGCGGCAACACGGGUUCGAACCCCGUAGGGAUCA